Molecule: long non-coding RNA, 1163 nt
Organism: Cygnus olor (mute swan)
Lineage: Eukaryota; Metazoa; Chordata; Aves; Anseriformes; Anatidae
Exons: 2
Source: RefSeq, a predicted model, not a curated record
CCGGGGAUGCCUUGUUUUCGGACGGAGGCCUGGUAGUCUGAGGAAUGCAGAAAUGUUGUGCAGAUAGCAGAGCACGAAUGACUGCGGUGUAGAUGCUGAUGCUGCCCAGGCCAUGAGAGCCUCGGUGAAGAGCUUUGUUUUCCCUCACUUCAGCGCACAUGAUUGCUACACGUCUUCUCAAGGACAAAUGCAAGCAGAGGACGGCAGUCGUCUUCCUGUUAAAAAGCAGCUGCUCCUGGAAACAUGCAAGAAAAAGGAUUUUAAGGGUAAAAUUUAAAAUUGGAACAGGUUAUACAAGAGCUACUGAUAACGCCACGCCGUAUCAUCCCACUCAAGGCAUCCCCGCAGUGUCUCCCUUUAUCGGUUUUGCAUGAAUAGAUAAAUGUUUCUGAGCAAAUGCAGAAUUAAAUGACUGCUGUAGCCGGUUGCGAGUUCAAGAAACUGUCUGACCGUACUUGUACAGAAGAGUUUCGAAAGGAACAUUUUCUUGGAUUGUUUCCUUGAAACUCUCUGAAUUGAAGGCUUUGUGCUGUUGAGCAAGUCUCGGUGAGAUCACGUUCAUUUUCUGGGCUGCAGAGCUCCGCUGAGGGCAGCAAAGCAGACGAGAGCCGCUCACCACCAAGUGCCCGGUCACAAACUCCUGCGAGCGAUGACACAGGCGUCUCUAUUUGCAGUUGGUCGGGUGCUGGCAGGCACCCUGAUUCCCGGUAAAUUAAAACCAAACAGAAGUGGGUUCCCUCUCGACGGCUUUAUCUCCACUGAGAGGAGAUGUCAACGCAGCUAUUUGUGCUUGGCUUUUAUCUACAGCAUCGUGCUGUGCUGGUUGGUCAAAGCAGGAGUCUGCGGAUGUGUGCAAACCAUCACUCGUGGUCAUUGAGGAGAGCCACUGAGCUGUGAGGCCAGGAGGAUGCUGCACGCAUGCACUGCCCAAAUUUUUUAAUGUUUGGGCUUUCCUGUCCGCUUGGGCUGUGAGGGUGUGUGCAUGGUUCGCGGUGCUCUGCGAAUCUCUGGAUAAAAAGCACCAGCAGUAUUUCUUGUUAAAGGCUGUCAGUAUUAAACUUCACAAAACUGGCAUUUCGCAAGAGCCCACUGGUGCAUUUUUGUUACAUUUCCAUGCCAUUUCUCUUCAGUAACUAUUAAAGUGGAAAUAUCUGUGCUGGAAA